GAAAUUCUUCCACCGGGAAGAAAAAUGCAAAUUGCAUUCUAGAACAUAUCGAUAGGUCUUAGUAGAUAUGUUUUGAGAGUGCCUUAUUAU
Molecule: non-coding RNA, 90 nt
Filed under: unclassified sequences
Source: RNAcentral